UACGUAGGGGGCGAGCGUUAUCCGGAAUUACUGGGUGUAAAGGGAGCGUAGACGGCGAAGUAAGCCUGAAGUGGAAGCCCGCGGCCCAACCGCGGAACUGCUUUGGGAACUGCUUAGCUGGAGUAUGGGAGGGGUAAGCGGAAUUCCUGGUGUAGCGGUGAAAUGCGUAGAUAUCAGGAGGAACACCGGUGGCGAAGGCGGCUUACUGGACCAUGACUGACGUUGAGGCUCGAAAGCGUGGGGAGCGAACGGG
This 253-nucleotide ribosomal RNA is filed under the name uncultured bacterium. Its description in RNAcentral is "partial 16S ribosomal RNA". It matches the Rfam family "Bacterial small subunit ribosomal RNA", at positions 524 to 776 of the family's 1533-position model. The record is from RNAcentral.